Dipodomys ordii (Ord's kangaroo rat) is the source of this 65-nucleotide non-coding RNA. Lineage: Eukaryota; Metazoa; Chordata; Mammalia; Rodentia; Heteromyidae. The record is from Rfam.
GGUGGCUCAGUGAUAGAGUGCUUGCCUCGCAUGCAUGAGGGUUUGGGUUCGAUUCCUCAGCACCA